GAAACAUAUCAUGGAUUGUGUUUUGAAUAGUUGUCUAAAACACAGGAUGCAUUUUUGGGGGUGAAAAUUCACGAAAUUUGAAGACGCAUAACUCUCCUACAUUAACUACAAUUGUGACUGUAAAAGGCAUGGUAAAGGUAACAGAAACUGCAUUAUUUGUACAAGAUGCAUCAUCCAUCAACUUUUGGUAUAAAUUUGACCACAGACUCUCGCACUCCGUCUCGUCCUGCCGGUCCGUGUAGUUGUAGCAGUUAGCGUUGUUGGAGAAGGAGCUCCCCAGAUUGACCGAGUGUUUGGCGUUAAAGGUCGGCUUGGAACCUUUGUUCAGCAUCGUCGCGUGAUUACCGUUACUUUCUCCCUUGCCUCGUGACAAAAGGAUCAAUACAGGACAAUGUACAUGGCUAGAAGAAUAUCAUCGGCUAUCUAAGCUCUAAAACGUAAUGAACAACCUCCGGAUUUUCACCUUGCUUCCGAACAAAAACGUGAGAGUAACGGU
Molecule: long non-coding RNA, 496 nt
Organism: Magallana angulata
Lineage: Eukaryota; Metazoa; Mollusca; Bivalvia; Ostreida; Ostreidae
Exons: 3
Source: RefSeq, a predicted model, not a curated record